UUAAAUGGCUGCAGAAUUUUAACUGUACAAAGGUAGUAUAAUAAUUAGUUUCUUAAUUAGGAACUGGAAUGAAUGAUUGGACGAAAUAGUGACUGUCUUAGUUUAAAUUUUAGAAUUUUAUUUUUGAGUUAAAAAGCUUAAAUUUUUUUAAAAGACGAGAAGACCCUAUAGAAUUUUAUAUUAUUUGAAUAUUUUAUUAUUAGAAUUUUAAUAUAGAAUUUUUUAAUUAAUAUUUAGUUGGGGUGAUUGAAAAAUUUAAUAAACUUUUUUUUUAUUAUUAACAUUAAUAUAUGAUUAUAUGAUCCAGUUUUUCUGAUUAUAAGAUUAAAUUACCUUAGGGAUAACAGCGUAAUUUUUUUAGAGAGUUCUAAUCGAUAAAAGAGAUUGCGACCUCGAUGUUGGAUUAAAGUUUAUUUUUAAUGUAGGAGUUAAAAUAUUAGGUCUGUUCGACCUUUAAAACUUUACAUGAUCUGAGUUUAAACCGGUGUGAGCCAGGUUGGAUUCUAUCUUUAAUUAAAUUAAAUGUUUUAGUACGAAAGGACCAAGUAUUUGUUAUAAUAAUUUUAUUAGAA
Molecule: ribosomal RNA, 572 nt
Filed under: Troglocharinus elongatus ollai
Lineage: Eukaryota; Metazoa; Arthropoda; Insecta; Coleoptera; Leiodidae
Description: 16S ribosomal RNA
Rfam family: Bacterial large subunit ribosomal RNA (bases 340-498)
Source: RNAcentral